AGAAAAUAAAAGCUUUGUCAUCACUCUCUGCUUCAGCUACAGGCCAGCAUAAAUGGAGGAGUCUCUGCAAAUUCGCCGAAUUAACGAAAUUCCCUCGCCGGAGGAAUUCGCCUCUCAGAUUGAACAGAAGAAUGUCCCUGCAGUCUUCAGUGGAUGCGCCAAGGAGUGGAAAGCAUUUUCGAAAUGGAAUGUGUCGAAUGGCGGCCUCGACUACUUGCAGGAAUUGGUGGGAUCGUCCAUUGUGGAAGCUAUGCUAUCCAGAUCUGCACCUGUAUUUUAUGGAGAUAUCCGAGCCCAUGAAAGGGUUCCUUUGCCGUUUUCUACCUUUAUUGGUUACUGCAAAGAUCUUCUACAAUGUGAGGAUGAUGGCGAAGACCCCAUUUCUCAAUUAAGAAAGCAUGAACCAACGGAAGUUGCUACCCACCAAGGUGAUUUUGCAACGGGAGAAGAAUCUCCAAAGCAAAUCUAUUUAGCACAGGUUUCCAUCGUAAAUACUGAAAAUGAGGAAAAGAGUCAGCUGGAAUGCCUUAGAGAUGACAUUGAAACGCCUGCAUUUCUGGAAAACAAAAUUCUGGCUUCUAUCAAUUUGUGGAUGAACAAUGCCAAGAGUAGAUCUAGUACUCACUAUGAUCCGCACCAUAAUCUUCUAUGCAUAAUUUCAGGAUGUAAACAAGUUGUUUUAUGGCCCCCUUCCGCAUGCCCCUUCUUAUAUCCGUUGCCUGUGUAUGGAGAAUCAUCAAACCACAGUGCCAUUCCAUUGGAAAACACCAAUUUUAGCCUCUAUCCAAGGGCAAAGUCAAUUGUUGAGUACUCUCGGAAGGUUACCCUUCAUGCAGGGGAUGCAUUGUUCAUUCCUGAAGGAUGGUUCCACCAAGUGGACAGUGAAGAUUUAACUAUAGCUGUCAAUUUCUGGUGGCAGUCUGACAUGAUGUCUAGCAUGCCAGAACACAUGGAUGCUUACUAUCUACGUAGAAUAUUAAAAAGAUUAACUGACAAAGAAAUGGAUCGAAUGCUCUCUAUGCCUUCAACUUCCAAGGUGAACCAUGUGAUUGGUGCAAGUGGCCAGUCUAGUAAUGAAAAUGCAGAUUUGAAUUUGAACCAUCAAGAAGUAGGUGGAGAAGAAAAGCUGGAGCCAGGGUUUUCAUUGCGGGAACUGGAACCACAUGAACUUCGAUCUCUUCAUGAGCUCAUUUCCUUAGUCCAUGAACAAAUCAACUGCCAGCCAGCAGACCAGUCUGCCUGUAGAGAGGAUGUGGUGAAGAAAUUGGAUAAAGCAAAUUUACAUAACUUAGAAGAUGAUCCAAUUGCUAAUACCGUUUGGAACCUAGAACCACAUGUCUUUCAAAUUGUCUUUCUCACCAUGGCACACAAUUUUCCAAGGACAUUGGAGGCUUUUGUAUUGCAUGCGCUCUCCCCUGUAGGAGUUGAAGUCCUUACCAGGAAAUUCGAGCAGAUGGAUCAAAGGAUUGUUCCGGAUGAGCGGAGUCAGUUUUACCAAAAGUUCUAUAGCGUGUUUGAUAACCAGUUCUCUGCCAUGGAUGCUCUCUUGAAUGGGAAAGAGUCUUUUGCAUGCCAGGCAUUCAAUAAUGUGCUGGUCCAAUAUCUGGGAGUUAACCUUGAUGGGCCAAAACCAUCGCUGCAGUAGGAAUGACUGACCGAUAAUGUUCAGACACUGUUGAUUAUUUAUAGUCUUGGGCUUGCGAAACAUGCCAAAUUGGAAAGACGAAAGAGUGCCAUCUUGGUUUCAGAUUAUACAUGAGAGGGAAAAGAAGAUGCAUAAGCACAGAAACAGAGGGAAAAGAGAUAAUCCAAAGUUUAAAAAUUGAUGAAUGAAUGAUGUAUCUUUUUGAGCCCAGCACAGAAACACAUACACCACCACCAGCAUCAACAUAGUUGCUUUUUUGCCUUCACGCUUACACCAGGUUUUACUACUGCCUCUUCUUUAAAAAUACUUUUCCUGCUUUUUUUUUACUUCAUGCUCUCUAACACUUUUCUACAUCUUUAAAUUCUUAUUUAAAUUUUAAUUUGUUUUUUUCAAUCAAUUUUAAUUUUGUUCUAUGGUGUAUUUUUGUUCAUGGAUGUUAAUGGUGAGUGAUUUCAAAAUAAUGUUAUCUCCGUCCACAACUAA
Molecule: RNA transcript, 2128 nt
Organism: Salvia splendens (bonfire salvia)
Lineage: Eukaryota; Viridiplantae; Streptophyta; Magnoliopsida; Lamiales; Lamiaceae
Gene name: 2-oxoglutarate (2OG) and Fe(II)-dependent oxygenase superfamily protein
Exons: 17
Source: RefSeq, a predicted model, not a curated record